CCUACGGGGGGCAGCAGUGGGGAAUAUUGGACAAUGGGGGCAACCCUGAUCCAGCAAUGCCGCGUGUGUGAAGAAGGCCUGCGGGUUGUAAAGCACUUUCAGUAGGGAAGAAAAGCUCGGGGCUAAUACCUCCGGGUCUUGACGUUACCUAAAGAAGAAGCACCGGCUAACUCCGUGCCAGCAGCCGCGGUAGUACGGAGGGUGCGAGCGUAAAUCGGAAUUAGUUGGUGUGAUGCGCAGGUAGUGGAAGCCCUGGGCUUAACCUGGGAACUGCAUUCGAUACUGCCCGGCUAGAGUAUGGGAGAGGGAAGCGGAAUGUCCGGUGUAGCGGUGAAAUGCGUAGAUAUCGGAAGGAACACCAAUGGCGAAGGCAGCUUCCUGGCCCAAUACUGACGCUGAGGUGCGAAAGCGUGGGGAUCAAACAGGAUUAGAUACCCGGGUAGUC
Molecule: ribosomal RNA, 445 nt
Filed under: uncultured bacterium
Lineage: Bacteria
Description: partial 16S ribosomal RNA
Rfam family: Bacterial small subunit ribosomal RNA
Source: RNAcentral